UUAUGACAAUCUCAUGACAAAUAAUACUUACAGAAACAUUUUCUGCUGAGUUGACCGGCAUCUCAUCCACACUGUGAUUGCCAUUUGUAAUGUCACAGAUGCAGUAGUUGCUAACAGAAGGAGGUCUGAAUGUGUGGCCACCAUCACAAUGAAUUUCUGGACUGAUUCCACAGCCGAAUGUGAAUGAGGCAAGAGAAUGAUAGUGUGUGAGUAAAACUACUGCAUGUACCAAUUCCGCAAGGGACCAGCUGUGCUCUUCAGCUUUUAAAAGUCCCUUAGGGGGAAAAAAAAAAAGAAUAUAUUUUUGUACUGGGGUGUGGUAAAAGUAUACAGUUCAUUUUAGUAUUUAAUUUAUUGAAAACAUGAGUCAUCAUACAAAGCCUAGCAUAAAAUUAUCAUUUGAAACAUGUAGAACCCAGAAUUUGCUAAUUUUUAUGAAUAUGCAUUCACAAAUAGAACUUAACAUAAUCUGUUAAGACAUUCACUAUUAUUUUGAUUUUCUGAAAUAUUGACUUAAAAUGUAAGAGAAUGCAUUUUGCUUAAAAGUGGCUGCUGUAUUUCAGAUGCUGGAUUAUGAAUGAAUUACUGUGUUGUUAGUUCAAAAUCUCAAAGCAAAUGUAAUAAAUUUGUGUUUAAAAGUAGAA
RNAcentral lists this long non-coding RNA (644 nucleotides) under Homo sapiens (human). RNAcentral's name for it is "novel transcript, antisense to SESN1". The record is from RNAcentral. Lineage: Eukaryota; Metazoa; Chordata; Mammalia; Primates; Hominidae.